UACGGGGGGGAGCAAGCGUUGUUCGGAUUUACUGGGCGUAAAGAGCGCGUAGGCGGUCCGAUAAGUCGGCUGUGAAAGUCAGGGGCUCAACCCUUGAAAGCCGGCCGAUACUGUCGGACUAGAGUCCGGAAGAGGCAAGUGGAAUUCCCGGUGUAGCGGUGAAAUGCGCAGAUAUCGGGAGGAACACCAAUGGCGAAGGCAGCUUGCUGGGACGGUACUGACGCUGAGGUGCGAAAGCGUGGGGAGCAAACAGG
Molecule: ribosomal RNA, 254 nt
Filed under: uncultured bacterium
Lineage: Bacteria
Description: partial 16S ribosomal RNA
Rfam family: Bacterial small subunit ribosomal RNA
Source: RNAcentral